GUUUAAAAAUUACAAAAUUUUAUUUUUAGUAUUUUUUCCUAAUUUAUUUGUUAUUAGUAAUUUUUAUUAUAUUAAUUUGUUAAAUCUUUAAAUUUAACGUAUAAAAUUAGAAAAUUGGAUUUCUUAAUGGAUUUGAAAAAUACAGAAAAAACAUAUUCUAGACAAAUGGGUUGUUGUAGAUUUCAACCCAACAUACAUUUAACAAUGGACCGUGUAUUACCUGUGACUUUUAUUUGAUAAUAUGUGACCUUUUAGAAAACAAAAAUCAGUUUAGUCAAGCAAAUAAAAAAAUGGAAAAUUAGGUCUAAUAACCAAAAAAAAACGACAACUUUACCUUCUCCCCUUCUGUUAACGACUGCACCUAGAUGAAGAAAGAAUAACAAUCGAUUGGAGUCUGAUACAAAUGGAACACAUACCAGACAGAACUACAAUGAUCCUGAUCUAGCGAAACAAAGGGUAUAGAAGGACAAACCGUUUCAUAGGAGUAUCUAAAGACAGGAAACGAAAUGAAGCUGAGGCCGUGGUGGAAGAAAAUAUUGGUAAGUGUUGCUGGGAAUCCAUUGAUCUAGCCCACCUACAAUUUGUUCUGGAUAUUACAUGUUCAAGUCCUCUUCCCGUUUCUUUGAGCUUCUCAUCUGGGAUGAGGGUGUAAUUCUGAAUUUUUCUCAAUGCUCCGGCGGGUAGAAGUCUUCCCUUACUUUCCAUGUAUGUCUUCUUGCACAGGCAUGUAUCUUAUACCCUUUUCACAUUGGUAAAACAAAAUUAAAAAUAGUUAGAUUAGAUAAGCAGAUUGCGAUAUAAAAUACACAAUAAAACAUAAGGAUAAAUAACCAAAACUCACAUUCUC
Molecule: long non-coding RNA, 847 nt
Organism: Raphanus sativus (radish)
Lineage: Eukaryota; Viridiplantae; Streptophyta; Magnoliopsida; Brassicales; Brassicaceae
Exons: 4
Source: RefSeq, a predicted model, not a curated record